This 253-nucleotide ribosomal RNA is filed under the name uncultured bacterium. RNAcentral describes it as "partial 16S ribosomal RNA". It matches the Rfam family "Bacterial small subunit ribosomal RNA", at positions 524 to 776 of the family's 1533-position model. The record is from RNAcentral.
UACGUAGGGUGCAAGCGUUGUCCGGAAUUAUUGGGCGUAAAGAGCUCGUAGGCGGUCUGUUGCGUCGGCUGUGAAAACCCGGGGCUCAACUCCGGGCCUGCAGCCGAUACGGGCAGACUAGAGUUCGGCAGGGGAGACUGGAAUUCCUGGUGUAGCGGUGAAAUGCGCAGAUAUCAGGAGGAACACCGGUGGCGAAGGCGGCUUCCUGGACCGACACUGACGCUGAGGCGCGAAAGCUAGGGGAGCAAACGGG